RNAcentral lists this long non-coding RNA (8323 nucleotides) under Durio zibethinus. Its description in RNAcentral is "long non-coding RNA (DZIB_LNC002456)". Lineage: Eukaryota; Viridiplantae; Streptophyta; Magnoliopsida; Malvales; Malvaceae. The record is from RNAcentral.
GUUUGCCAAGGAAAGGAGUCCUGCAAGGAAUACAUAAAAAGUUUCUUGGCUGCUAUACCUAUUAGGGAAUUGCAGGCUGAUAUCAAGAAGGGUUUAAUGGCAUCAACACCACUACAUCACCGACUACAGAUUGAAUUCCACUAUACUGAGUUCUUGCAGCCACUACCUGAGACUUCCGCAACUCCAAUGACAACAGCCACACCACUGUCGCUCGAAGUUCCAUUAACUGAAUUUGCUGCAUAGAGACUUACUGUAAAUUCUAGGAAAAGUGUGAUUACUCUAACUUGUUUUCUUUCUUUUACCAUGGGUAUCCUAUGAUGUGAAUGUGGUUUAACAAAGAGGAACCCAUGUGAGCUUUUUUCAAUCAGUUUGGCAAAUAGAGUUGUGUUUCUCCUAAGUUGACUUCAAAAGAACAUCAACUUUUCUCAUAUGCUGGAGUUAAAUUUGUGUCUGUUGGCUUCUUUUCUAGUUGCAUCACUUCCCCAUUUGCCAUCUUUCUAGGGAGCAGGUUAACUGGUUUGGCUUAAACGCCUUUUAUCCUUUUAACAAUUGUCGAAAUAUUCUCCUGUUCUAGCAUCUGGCAUUUUCACAGACUGAAAAUCUUACUGUUGUGUAUGUGAUUUCAUGGCUGAUGACUACGAUUCUCUGCCAGAAAAAAGGCUGAUGACCAUGAUCCGAGCCUACGCUUUCAAAGUUGGAAUCUAAUCUUCUGAAGAAAAAAGGAAAAAGGAAAAAAAAUACUCUGACAAAAAUCCAGAUAUUCUUUUCUUUUUCCCUUCCCUGUAUCCUGCGCAAGGUAAAGGGGAACUUUUCGAGGUUGGUUUUGAGCCCUGAGAAAAAGAAUCUUUGAAACGUAUGACCCUACUGUAAAGUUCCUUCUUUUGAUUCCCUCAACUACUUUUAUCUGGCACAUCCUCGUGACCAAGUUGAAUUACUAUGCCAAUUGUUGAGCAAAGGUUUUUCUGGUUUCUAACCCCUAUACUACACGUCGAGGAUAUGUCCUUUUAGCUUUCGAAUUAUACGUUUAGUACGGCUCGAAACAUUCAUUCUCUGGUUGCCUUGCGUUCAGAACUUGUUUGUGUUGAGUUUCAAAUUAAAAGUAAAAAAUCUGAAAUCAUAAUAAAAAAAGAGUGAUUAAUAAUAAAACAGAGAACGUUCUUUAUGUUUACAUUUCAAUGUUCAAGUUAAAAAUUGAUAUAAGAGAAAUAAGGAGAGAAAAUAUAAUAUAAAAAUAAAAUGAUAACAUUUGAAUGCCUCAUUUAUAAACUUAAAGUGAAAAAUUUGUAAGAUAAAAUAGUGAUUAAUCGAGUUGAUAUAAUAUUAUAUAUAUCAAAUCGAUUUAAAAAUUUAAAAUAUCUUUAUUUAUCUAUUAAUAAUUUUUAAUAAAUAAAAUUAUUAAAGUACCUUUUAAAUCCCAAAAUAUCUCUGUUAGAACUAAUCAGACAUAAUAAUAACAUUCAUUUUCUGUUUUGGGUGUUUUAUCCUAAGAAAUUGUCUUUGGCUUUUUAAAAAAUGAAGAUAAUUUCCAAAUUUUGGAAAUUUUUUUAGACUGACUAGUUCUAGGUUUCAGUCAAUCGUUAAAUUUUUUUCUCCAUCAAAUGUUAGAAAAUGAAGAAAUGGUGGAAAAUAUUUUCGCAAAACAAAUGCAACCUAAUUUUUUUUUUUUUAAUUGUUAAGGGAAGUGAAGAGAUUGGAUUUUAAACACGCAUUUUUUCAAUCUUCUAAGAGUAUAUGAAGGGCUGAAACUGUUAGCUCUUGCAUUAUGUUGGAUUCUUUUACAGUCGUGGCAGUUGCAUUGGAAAACAAAUAUUUUCUUUCAAGUUGUUGUCUUCGCAGUUUGUAAUGAUGAUGACAAUGAUGAUGAUGAUUGAUGAGGGAAGGAGAGGUUUCUGGCUUUUUCCAACCUAUGUUUGAGCAAACAUUGGAUUGAGUUUAGACUAAAACGUGUAGCCCUUAAAGCUAAAGCUAAAGUGCUCAAAAGUAUGACAAUCAUUGGCGCAUGCCGCGGGAUUUGCAUGCUUUGACAAAAGCAGAUUAAAACACAACCGUUUUUCCAUCGUUUUAUAACUUUAAAAUGAGAACAAUUCAAACUGCAACAUCCUUCCUUGGCUUGAUGAUAGGAAGUCUUAUAAAAGAUUUGAGAUUAAAUUGUCUUUAUUAAAAAAAAUUAUGCUUUUCAAUUAAAGUGAUAACUAUUUGAAUUAAAUCAAAUUUAAUUUAAUUUAAUUUAAUAUUAUAUAAUAUUAUAAAAUUAUAAAAUUCGAUUAAAAUGCUAGUUGAUUUUUUAUAUCAUCUAAUUCGAAUAAAAUUAAAUUUUAUUAGUUAAUUUUAUUGAUUUUUAAUUUAAUUUUUAAAAUUUUUUUAUAUUAUUUUAAUACAAAAUUUUAAUAUAUUUAAAUGAAUUUUGAUAUAAAAUUAUUAUUUUUUAUUUUAUAAAAAGUUAAAAUAUGUAUAAAAAUUAAUAAAAAAAUAAUUUAUUUCAAAUUAAUUUUUUUAUUUUUUAUCUUUUGAUUUAAAAUUUAAUUUAAAUUUAAUAUAUUUAAUAUCUAAAUUUUAUUCAAUUUAAAUGAAAAAAUCGAUCAAAACCAAGCGGAAUACUAUUCUUUCAGAGAUUGUCAACGUGUUUGUUAUCAGUUUUAAAUCGGCAGCUGUCUUGCCAGGAAGCCUUGGAUGGGUAACAUUCGGUUACAGUUGUUAAAUAUUGGGGAAAUUCCAGGAAUAUUAACAAACUUAGCCUGAGGCCCUAAGCCUGUUAUUGAUAUUCUGGUGGGGAAGUUUUGUCUUGUUUAAACCCCCUUCAGGCCCUAAAUCCCGCUUCCGAUGCUGUCCAAGCAGUUGAGCCCAUCAAAACCAAAGCUUUCGAUGAAACUUUGAUGGGGCCUUUUAAAGCAUCAAACUCUUUUUUUUUUAUAAGAAAAUUGUUGGGUUAGGAUUUUCAAAUUUGAUUUUAGAAUUCAAGACAUUUAUUAAAAAAAAAAGCUUCGCUAUGUCAACUUUUUUCAUUUAUAGGUAGCAUUUGAUAUUAUUUUUAAAAUUAUAAUAAUUUAAUCAUCAAAAUAAUUUUAUUAUUAAAAUAAUCUUAUCAGACUUUGAUAUGAGUUUAUUGAGCUAGGCUUUUGUGAUAUAAGAUUAAGUUAUUUAGUUAAAUAAAGAUACUUAAAUUUCAUACCAUCAUAAUUGUGAACUGUCCAAGAAUUUUAGGGCUUUAAGACCGUUGAGUUGGUAGGGAAUAUAAAAAUACCUGAAAUUCAGGGGUUUUGACUCGAUCCGAUCUCUUUAGGAUCGAUUUUUUUUUUUUAAAAUUAGGUAUCGGGUCGAGUAGGGUAAAAGAAUUUCGAGUUCGAGUCGGGAUCGAAUUUUAGGUAAAUUCUACUCGAUAUAUAUAAAAAAAUUAUUUUUUUAAUUUUAUAUUUAGUUUUAUAUAUCUGUAUAUAUAUUUAAUUUUAUAUUUAUAUUUAAAAUAAUAUUUUAUUAAUUUCAGGUUUGAUCGGGUCGAAUUUGAUUUUAUACAAUAUCAAAUCGGGUUUGGGUAUUAAAAAUAAAAAAUUUAUCGAAUCGAUUACGAAUACGGAUUUUAUAUGUUUAAAGUUGGAUCGGAUUAGAGGCGAGUAAAAACCUGAUCCGAUCCGUUGUCAUCAUUAUGAGCCGGGUCCAUUUCCUUUUUUUAUAUUCAUCUCAUCCAUAAGAAAAAGCCUGUUAAAGUGUAUGCCAUAAAAUCACACGUCUGGGUUCAGCUAGAAAUCAGAAUACUUUACCUCAACUUAUUCCUUUGCUUGCUUUGCUUAGAACAAAGAUUAAAAUUAAAACUAAAAGAGUUAAAUGAUAUACUUCGAUGUCAAGCUUAAAAUCUCUAUGUCAAAAGUGAAGCCAAGGAUCCAAUAGUCCUUUGAUAGUGAAAUCAGAGAGAGCAAAAUAAUAGAUUUUUAUAAAAUAAAUACGGUACAAUGAUAAAGGGAAUUAGGAUAAAUUUCUAAACGAGAGUAUUUACUUAAGAUUGUUCGGAAAAAAAUUAGUUUUCGAUUAAAAUCGAAAUACCCUUGAUUAUCUUCUAGAAAAGACCCAUAAAUUGUUCCAAAUUACUACUAUUACUCAAAGCUGACCAUGCAAAUCAAGCAAGCUGUCUUUGCUCUUUGGGGUAAAGCUGUUGGAGAAAAUGAUUCAUAAGGUCACACCUUUAUCUUCACUAUUUUCACUAUUUGAUUCCUCUCUAUAACUUUAUCUACAUCUUAAGGAAGAGCCAUGUGCCUCCUUUGCCCUACUAAUCAUUCCAGUCUCAUCUAGAUGAUGACAUAACUUCAAAUUUGUCAACCUUCACCUCUACUUAUCAAGAAGUACUUGUGCUAGUUUUUUUUUUUCCAAACCCCCACAUAUCCUUUUCCAUGCUUCUUCAAUUUGGUGCAUUUCACAUUACCAUACCUUCAGAAAUUGGUAUUGUUUUAUCUUUAAUAACAUUUAUCUCUGAAAUUAUUUAGGUUUGUUUGGUUUGGUAAUGACUGACUUUAUUUUUACUUUUGGAAAUAGAAAGAGAAAGGAAUUGUUUGACUCUUUGAGAAAGUGAAAACAUGUGGGUUUUAACCAUAUUGACUGAUAGUUUGGUACCAAAUUUGUUAAAACUUUUAUCCUAAAAUUAAGGAUAAAAGUUUAAUUAAACAAUUCUUUUAUUUUUUCAUAAAAGAGACCGUAAUUUGAUUAAGUCAAAAAUUAUAUAACAAAAUCUUAAAUUUGCUUAAUGUUAUUUUCAAAAGUGAUUGUGUAAACUAGAUUAAAUUUCCAAUUUAACUUCUGCUUGACUUUACAUGCAUUAAAGAAAAAAAAAAACAAAUUAAAAGAUGACAAAGGAAAAAGUAUAAAGUCAUUAAAUUUUGGAAAGUGAGAACAAGAACCAAACAUGUUACCGUGACAAUAGCAUCCCAAAAAAUCGAUUUCCGUGAAAGAAAAAGAAUAUCCGUUGAAAGAUCCCACAAAAACAAAGGGUUGUAGUUUCUCAUCUGCACAAUUUAAUGCAACAAAGUUCUGUUUUAAGAAUGUCCAAGCACUACUAUACAAGUUUCAAAGCCCUCUGCCAUGAAAAAAAAAUAAAAACAAGAAGAAGCUGAUGAAGGAAGGAAAUGAAAGAGAAAAUCUGAUAUUCAAAUAACAAAGACAGCAUAAUUUAGACCGUUGUUAUAUCAGUAGAAGGAAAUUAGAUACACAGUUCAUCAUUUUCGUCAUCCAUAAACACUAAAUUGAGACCUUCCAAUGGGACUUGAAACAGCAGCAAUUUGAUUCUAGGUUAGAAUAUGUUAGACAAUGCAAGGAAAAUACACAUCAAGAAAGGGUACAAGAAGGACAUUCAGCAGCAAACAGGGCAUUUGACCAAUCCAUUCUCAUUACAAUCAGGGCAUUUUUUAAUGCAGAAUUCAUGAUCUCCUUCCUUUUCUGCAUAAACCUUGCGGCUGCCAUUGCAGUUUGAGCAAACCAGAAAGCGCAAAUUGGCACAACCGGUACACAGGCAGUUGGGGUGGCUUGAAGGUAUCUCUUCCAAGAGCUUCUUCAGCUUUCCUUGCUCGUGAAGUCCAACAACUUCACCAGCUCCUCCUAUGUAUCUGCCCUUGAUAAACAGCUUUGGAGGGAUCACUUUGCCACUCAUUAUCCUCCAUAAUUCUUCCCUGAAUUCCAUGUCCAUCGAAACAUCUCUCUCAUUGACUAUUAUCUUGAAACUGUCUAAAAGAAACCUGAUACUGCUGCAAUCUUCAUAUGUUUUUCUUGUUCCUCUCAAGCUUGUUGUAUAGAAAAUGACUGACUCUUCUCCACAUGGUGGAUAUUUCUCUUCAAAAUCUGUUAGAGAAGGAUGUUCUUCAUUGUCCCCCUUCACUUCUUCAGGUAUGCUAUCAUCCUUGACAAUUGUCUCCGAGGAGAUUGGAAGCUGAGAAUUAGACUCUCUAGUUACUGUGUCCUUCAAAUCUAUGCAGGGUGAAUCAUUAUCUUGGUCGCCAACAUCGAGUUAAAAUUCUGUUUCUUCAUCCUUUUGAUCUUUAAAAUCAACUACUGAUUCUGGGAGAUUAAUGUUUUUGCUUUCGCUGUUUUGCAGUCUUGUUCUUUGUAAACUGAUAGGUUAUGGUAAUUCUGAUUGGAGAAGGUGUGUUGGGGAUUAAGCUGAAGGACUAAGCCUUGUUUCAAAGUGCUGAGAGCAGUGAAGGAAGGUGUUCUGCCAGGAGUGAUGAUGGUGAGUAUCCAUUGGACACAGAUUCACUUGAUGACUUUGAAGAAGGAGAAUCAGAUGAGGGAAAGGAUGACAUUGUUGUCAGGAAGUCAUUUAGUUAUGGUACUCUGGCAUAUGCGAAUUAUGCUGGAGGAUCAUUUUACUUCAGCAUGAAGAUCAAUGAGGAAGGUGAGGAUUGGGUGUAUUACAGCAAUCGUAAAUCAGAUGUUGGCUGCUCAAACAUCGAGGAUUCUGCUGCAUCAGUAUCAGAGCCAUCCCUGCUGCAGAGUUCCAAGCGCAGCAUUUUGUCUUGGAGGAAAAGGAAGCCGAGCUUCAGGUCUCCUAAAGCGAAAGGGUAGCCAUUGUUAAAGAAAGCCUAUGGAGAAGAAGGUGGGGAUGACAUUGAUUUUGACCGCCGUCAGCUUAGCUCUGAUGAAUCUCUUGCACUUGGGGUAAGAAUAAUUUCUUAACUUUUUAGUUUAAUUCACAUUUCUCCUCUCUGUCUUCAAGCUUGCUGAAGAAAAGGGAAAAGUACACCCUGGUAUUUAAGAUGAUUUUCUUUUGAUUUUCCAUGCUCUCACAUUAGUAGCCGGAACUGAUUACAUUGACCAAUAUGUGGGAUUAUUAAUGCUGAGUUUUUAUCAAGUUAUCACAUGAUUUUCUUAUGAAUGCAAGCAACUUUAAAGGUGCAUGUGUUUAUAUAUUUGAUUGGGGAUUUUCAUAUCCUACAUUCUAACAUAAUUCAUACCUUUGUCAUCUCAGCUAGUUUGAAUGGUUCCAUUUCUUCAAUGAAUAUUACUUUUACAAAGCCUUAGUUGGCUAUAUUUUUAGAAUUUUGUAGUAUUAUUGAUUCCAAUUGUUUGUUCCUUCACAGUUAUUGCUGGAGUAAAGUAUAUCAACUUCUAAAUAUAAAUACCAUUUAUUUUGACAUUACCAGAGUAAAGUAUAUUAAGUUCCAAAUAUAACUACCAUUUGUUUUGACAGUGGCACAAGACAGAUGAAGAUUCAUCUGCAAACCGUUCAUCAGUUUCUGAAUUUGGGGACGAUAAUUUUGCUAUUGGCAGUUGGGAACAGAAAAAAGUGGUAAGCCGUGAUGGACACUUGAAGCUUCAAGCGCAGGUCUUCUUUGCUUCUAUUGAUCAACGGAGCGAGCGAGCAGCUGGUGAAAGUGCAUGUACAGCCCUUGUAGCUGUUAUUGCUGAUUGGUUUCAGAACAAUCGUGAUCUGAUGCCUAUUAAGUCUCAAUUUGAUAGUUUGAUCAGAGAAGGCUCAAUGGAAUGGAGGAACCUCUGUGAGAAUGAAACCUAUAGGGAGCGGUUCGCUGACAAGCACUUUGAUCUUGAGACGGUUCUCCAAGCUAAAAUACGUCCUCUUUCUGUAGUGCCAAGGAAGUCUUUUAUUGGGUUUUUCCAUCCAGAGGGGAUGAUGAGGGAAGAUUUGACUUUUUGCAUGGUGCAAUGUCAUUUGAUAACAUCUGGGAUGAGAUUAGUCGCACUGGUGCAGAAUGUCCUAACAGUGGUGAACCUCAGGUUUACUUGUUAGUUGGAAUGACCAUUUUUUUAUCCUUAAGGUUGAACCAGAAGCUUACUACAUCAUUGACACAUUAGGAGAGAGGCUUUAUGAGGGAUGCAAUCAAGCUUAUAUCUUGAAAUUUGACAACAAUACAGUAAUUCACAAACUAUCAAAUGUAGCUCAAUCAUCAGAUGAUAAGCCAACUGUUGAUCAGCAGAUAGCAACAGCUCCAGCUGAACCUAAAAUUUCACAGGUUAGACGGGUCAAUGGGAGGGAGGAGGGUUCUGUUGCAGAGGCUGUAGUAACCAAACCUGAGGAAUCAGUCAAGAGUGAGGACAGUGAGGAGGUUGUUUGCCAAGGAAAGGAGUCCUGCAAGGAAUACGUAAAAAGCUUCUUGGCUGCUAUACCUAUUAGGGAAUUGCAGGCUGAUAUCAAGAAGGGUUUAAUGGCAUCAACACCACUACAUCACCGACUACAGAUUGAAUUCCACUAUACUGAGUUCUUGCAGCCACUACCUGAGACUUCCGCAACUCCAAUGACAACAGCCACACCACUGUCGCUCGAAGUUCCAUUAACUGAAUUUGCUGCAUAGAGACUUACUGUAAAUUCUAGGAAAAGUGUGAUUACUCU